RNAcentral lists this ribosomal RNA (468 nucleotides) under uncultured bacterium. Its description in RNAcentral is "partial 16S ribosomal RNA". It matches the Rfam family "Bacterial small subunit ribosomal RNA", at positions 28 to 507 of the family's 1533-position model. The record is from RNAcentral.
GACGAACGCUGGCGGCGUGCUUAACACAUGCAAGUCGAACGGAAAGGCCCUGCUUUUGUGGGGUGCUCGAGUGGCGAACGGGUGAGUAACACGUGAGUAACCUGCCCUUGACUUUGGGAUAACUUCAGGAAACUGGGGCUCAUACCGGAUAGGAGCUCCUGCUGCAUGGUGGGGGUUGGAAAGUUUCGGCGGUUGGGGAUGGACUCGCGGUUUAUCAGCUUGUUGGUGGGGUAGUGGCUUACCAAGGCUCUGACGGGUAGCCGGCCUGAGAGGGUGACCGGCCACAUUGGGACUGAGAUACGGCCAAGACUCCUACGUGAGGCAGCAGUGGGGAAUAUUGCACAAUGGGCGGAAGCCUGAUGCAGCAACGCCGCGUGCGGGAUGACGGCCUUCGGGUUGUAAACCGCUUUCGCCUGGAACGAAGCGUGAGUGACGGUAAUGUGUAAAGAAGCACCGGCUAACUACGUG